AAGCUUUGGUCGAUAUUGUGGUACUAAGAUAAGUGGAGUACCUCCUCACUGUAACUUCUCCUUUCGAUCUCUUGCUUGUAGCAAUUGCUUCUUCUGAAGCAUCCAAUAUGAAGUUAUAGAAGUCCUGCAGUAUUUCCAUUAUAAUUUUUAUGAGCUUUUUGUUAAUUAGCAAACUAAAUCAAAUUUAUAAAUAUGUUCUCAUGAAUUAUCUUAAUUAGUAUUAGUAUGUGAAUGGGUAACGUCCAAGAACAUAUAGUAAUUACUAUUAAAGUGUCUCUAUAAAUAGUCUCUUGUAUGUGAGUGAAUCAAAUCACAUCUUUAAAAUUUAUUAUCUUCCAUAUAUUUCCAACCAAAAAUAAAAGAGUAGAAAACUUAAAUUAAAAAGAAAAAAAAAUUAAUUAAUCCUACUUUGGAAAAACAAUUUAGAAAAAUAAAUUGAUUUCUAAAAAUUUAUCAGAGCUUUCUAUAGAAUCUCCACUAUCAAUUACACUACAUUAUUUUAACAAUAUACUAUUAAUAAAUCAUGAGUGAGAGAAUAAUUCACCAAGUUUUAUAAAAAUAAACUUCAGAUCAAUACUAAUAGUAAGCUAAAAUAGCAAAAUUGAACAACAAAUGAAUUAUUCUCUAUCAAUAUGGCAAAUCAAUUCAUAAAUUUAAAGGAAAGAAAAAAAAACCAUGUAACCUAACAGAGCUCCGUUUGUUUCACGGAAAACCUUUGUGAAAAAAUGAUUUCUGAUGAAAUUAUUUUUAAUGAAAAUGCAUUGUUUUCCUUAUUUGGUUGCUAAACUGAAAAUAAGAUGAAAAGGAACGUCAUUUUCUCGACUUGAAUAAAUUUUUUUAAAAAGAUAGUUUUUUUUUAUCUUUCUUUCUUGAUACACGUAGCAUUAUAUUUAAAUAAAUAUUACAUAUUUGAUUUCUUUUGAAGAGAAAAAAAAAACACAGACAAAAUUGGAGUUGAGUUGAGAAAUAUUAUUAAAUUUGAGAGCAUAAAGAUGAAUAAGUGAUAUAUACGGAGAAAAUAAGUUCGAUGAAAAAAAUAAAGAGAAUAAAAAGUAAGCUGUAAAACAUUUGCAUCCGUCCAUCCGUUUUUAAGGUUGUGAAUAUUUUUAAAAUUUUUAUUUUGUAGAAAAACAGAGAAAAUAAAGAUUCACAUGCCCAUCUGACUUCUUCUAGAUCUCAAAUCAAGAAUAUAAAGAAAAUGAAAUUCAAGCAUUAAAAUCAUAACAAAAAAUUAAAUUCAGACAGAGGUAAUUCUACAAUGUGUUUACAUCAAACAUAAUAAAUGCAUUAAAAAUCACCAAAAUGCGCUAUACCCAAAACCCAAAACUCGUAAAAAAUCAAUCUCUUCACCACAUUGACACAAAAAAAACAUCACUCAUUAAACGCCUGAAAUAAAAAAUGAUGAAAUUGAAUGAACGCCCACUAACCUUCGACAAAAGGCAGAGGAGGAGAGAUCGUCAUUGAAUUAAAAGGGCAGUAAAAUCAAUCUCUCUCCAGCCGCAUUCACCAAAUCGUUAGGCUUCAAAAAGACCAGCUACCGAAAAUUCAGAUACACAAAAUGCAACAGAUCUAAAAGCAGAAGGUAUAUAAAUGGUGGAUCAGUGGUCGGC
Molecule: long non-coding RNA, 1610 nt
Filed under: Panax ginseng (ginseng)
Lineage: Eukaryota; Viridiplantae; Streptophyta; Magnoliopsida; Apiales; Araliaceae
Description: long non-coding RNA (PGIN_LNC011357)
Source: RNAcentral